GCUGAAACUCGUUUUUUUGUUAGUGGGGUCAACAGUACUAAUUUCUUCAAAAUUUCAGUGAAAAGUGUUGAGCCAUAGACAGCCGUUCUUCUAUGAUUCUAUCUGAAGGAACCGGAGCAGCCGCAGCCCGCAGGCAAAGGCGAGUGACGGGGACGGCCGGCCGGCCUAUUGGCACAGGCCUCAGGCUGCUCGGCGUUGUGGGGGGCCAGGUCGGUGGAGGCGGCACCACCCACGCGGCGAGAGCUCAACUGUGGCCGGCAGUCGUCCACGGGCGCGGCGCGAAGGUGGAGUUAACCGCGCGUUCCAGCAUAGUCAAUCACUGGAUGACUGGAUCGACACAGGAGGAGCUCGUGAGAUUCCUCUCUGCACACUAGUUUCCAGGUUUGCUUUUGCUGCAAUAGGAUGAAACUGCUAUUUUCAUUCUGUCCUGGGUCUAAUUGCUGUCUGCUUUGCAAAGUACCUCUUCAAAUUGUAGCAUAUAUGCAAUAGCUGUUCAUACAAUUGAGGACAGAGGGGUAAAAAUAAGAUUUUCACCCCUCGCUUAAUCUCAAGAAAGGUACAGUGUAACGCUAGUCAGAGGUUGUCAA
Setaria italica (foxtail millet) is the source of this 587-nucleotide long non-coding RNA. RefSeq lists it as uncharacterized. NCBI's taxonomy places the organism in Eukaryota, Viridiplantae, Streptophyta, Magnoliopsida, Poales, Poaceae. The record is from RefSeq and is a predicted model, not a curated record. The transcript has 2 exons.